Nephila pilipes (giant wood spider) is the source of this 71-nucleotide non-coding RNA. Lineage: Eukaryota; Metazoa; Arthropoda; Arachnida; Araneae; Nephilidae. The record is from the annotation of a GenBank genome assembly.
GCGGUAGCCUAGUGGUCAUGGUAACGGACUCGGGUUUCGUUGAGUCUCGAGUUCGAGCCUUGAUGUCCGCA